AAAACAAAAACAAAAACUUAAAGGGCCAUACUUGUGCUCAUAAUAACAAUCAAUAGAACUUUAGUUCUCAGAAUAGGGUUUGUAAAAUUAUUUUUAUAUAAAUGUUAUAAUUAAAUUAUUUUUACUUAAUUUUUCUCUAUACAUAAUAUAAAUAUGAUGUUUUCUUUAAUUAUACGUGCAGUUUAUCAAUAGCAUACAAUUCCAAGAAGAUUCUAUAGUUCUUUAGAGGGUCCCAAGCAGGAUUGAGCCUGAGCUGUACAGGGUGAUAACCAUUCAAUGACACACAUUUUAUUGGCUUUCUCUCCUUGCCUGUAUCACUCUCCAUUUUCUGGGAUUACCUUCCAAAUAAGUUACAUGCACCUGAGAGUAUGUCUCCGGCUCUGCUUUCAGGGGAAACUAAGCUAAGACAGACAUUGGAAUGUACAGCCAGCCACACAAUAUAUAACUAGGCCCUUCGGGCUGACUUUCCCUUGCCUUCUACUACGAGGGGUGUGGACACUGUCAUCAAUAAAUGAAGCUUGGUCACAUCUUUCUGAACUGCAGUCCCCGUUGUUAGAAAGACAGCAUGUAAUGGGGACAGUGUCAUCUCCAGGCAGUGGAUGCCUCCGGUCCAUGAAUUCUCUAGACCCCUCCCAUCCUGCCCCCUUCCACACAUUCCUGAAUGUAUCGGUCACAUUAAAUCAAUGAGACUAACUGAGCUGCUCCUUCCUUAUUCCACUGUUUCUCUGACAUCACCCAGGAAAUUACUGGAACCUUUGGUCUUAGCUGUCCCUCAACUGUGGUGCCGUCUCAACCAGUGUCUGCCAGGCUAGUAAUUCGUUUUCAGUAGAGAAGUAGCAAGCAGCUACAUUGGGUAAUUUUAGGGGCCAAGAGCCUCAAUCCUUAAGCCAAUCCUGAUAUACGUCAGAGACCAUCUCAUUAGAGCAUUUAUUGCACCCCAUCAAUCUUGUGGUACGAUAAACAAGACCGAGCAGAGUACAGCAUAGAAUACCAAGCAUGAACACUGUCUUCUUUUUUUUCUUUUUAAUCACCUGCAGCCUUUCAGGCCAACAUAUGCUUCUCUGAACUGAGAGCUUCGGAAGUAGCAUGUUAGUUGCAAGCAUCUCUGGGACUUAUGCUCACAGGCCUUUAGAUUGCCAAUAAAGGCGAUCUUGUAGAGACAUUCUUAAAAGUCUAGUGAUUUUUGGCUCUCUGUUCUUAUUUAAGAGAGAAACACCAAAAAUGGCUUGGAAACUUGGCCAGGAUGUUAACUAGUGGCUUCACUGUACAGUUUACUGUAGAUCUGUACUCAGGCCUUACUUUGUAGAUGCCCAAAUGUUAGCGUCUGUAGGGUUUUUUUCUCUUGGGCUAGUCUUCUGUUUGUUUGUACUGUUGUUAUUGUUCUGUAUUUCAGGAGAGGGUGUAAGCCUGGCUGCUAUUAUUCUAGGAGCUGAGUAAGGGCAGGGGACUAAAGUUCUCACAACUCAGUAUGUAAAAUUUAACUCUACCUCCCUAUUUUACCUUUUGUCUUACUUCCCUGAAAUAUUCCUGAGGCUAGAGCUCUGUUUCGAUUUUUCCAGUGAGAAUACCUGGAAUGUCUUCUGUUGGGGUGGGAAAGGUUUAGGUGCCUGGCUAUGCAAUGUUAGGGCUGGCAUCUAGAGAGCUAGGUGCUUUUUAUUAGACUUUCAACUAAUCUUGUUUUUAAUCCACACCCCAUUCAAAGUGACAGGUGCCUCCAAUUCUGCAGCCGUUCUUGUCUUGCUUUAUGGCUUUUCCGAGUGCAGAUGCUUAAAUUUCAGCUUUCUCUGCUUUUUUAAGUUUCCACUUGUCCACCUGCUUGCCAUUUUCCAAGUUGUAUUCUAGCAGCAAAUCACCUAUCUGAAAAGACUACCUAUCUCAGCCUCCUUUGCAUAUAGUUCUGGCCAAAGGGGAAAUGCUAUGAGAAACAUCAGGAAUGGCCCCUUAACGGGAUUUGAUUCGGCUGUGGAGCACAUCCUUUUAUCCUUCUCUUCUCCCUUCUUCCUACUGCCUGGAAUGUGGACAUGAUAGCUAGAACGCCAGCAAUUAUCCUGAACUCAUGAGGGAAGCUUGAGGAAGGAAGCCACAUACUGAGGAUGACAGAGCAGAAAUAUAGGAGCCUUGGUCCCUGGUGGCUGUGGAGUUACCCCAGACUAACGGCGGACUUCUUUUAUACUAACAGUAAUUCUGACAAAUUCUAUCAUGUACAAUUUCCUUCAAAAGAGGGGGAAAGACUAUGAUACAUUGAUAAUUGUGUACAUUGCAUUACUGAGUAUGUUGCCGACAGGACAGAACUUCCUUUCUGACCAGGAGGAUAAAAAUAGACUUCUCUCUCCCUAACAAUUUUACAUAUCUAGUGAUUGGAAGAAUUUCCAAUAGACUGACUCAUACCUCCUUUCCUUUUAGUCUUUGUAUAUAUGGUGCCAUCCACCGCAGGAUAAAGUCACAUUGCAGUGUAACCUCUGGCCCUGCACCUUUACAUGACAGGAUCCCAGAUCUCGGCAUGCUCAAGUGUUCCUGGAGAAAGAAACUGACCUCUUGGCAACAACAACUCUUGGGUAAAAUUAUAAACUAAUUUUGGACAAGAAAAAAAACAAGAGCAUCAAUUGCUGCCAUUUGAGAUGGAAGGUCAUUUGAGGACAAAGUGAGAAAAUGGCUGUCUGCAAGCCAGGAAGAGAGGGCUCACCAAAUACCAAUCCUGACAGCAACUUGAUCUUGGACUUCUAGCCUCCAGAGCGGUGAGUAAAUAAAUUUCUGUUGUUCAAGCUACCUAGGCUCUGGUAUUUUGUUAUGGCAGCCUGGGCAGACUAAUAUAGUAGAUAAAGGCACAGUACAGACAUAAAAGGGCUGUACAUUUUAUAAAAUUCUGAAUCUGCAGAUUGGCAAGGUCUGAUGUGAUGCACAGUGUGGAGAUGGCAGCACCAGAUUCACCCUGGAAAGCAUCAAAAUACCACUUUCGAACAGAGGCGAUAUUUCCAGUUAAAACAUUACAACAUAAGUAAUUUGAUGGUGGUGAUGCAUCGACUUCAUUCAGCUGGCCACUAAAUUACAGGUGCUAACAGUAUUCCAAGAACUGCAGAAGAGACUGGGGACUUGCAAUUUCUAUUGUUGUUGAUAUUUCGAUUAUUGUAGGAAUUCUAUUAUUUUCUUUCAAAGCACUUUGGAUGCCUGGACUUUUGCAAAUGGAGAGAUGCAAGGCAAGGGCUUGAUACUCUUAUAAUUAACAUUUUUGAGUGCUUACAUGAUUAUACAUGGCAGGCCCUGUUACAUAAACUGACUUUGUUUAAUUCAGAUAACAACCUACCUGUGAGAUUGCUAUAUAGGGACCAUUACUUCCAUUUUACAGAUGAGGAAAUGUUUACGAUGUAUUACAUUUAAAGAUCAGAGGGACUUCCCUAGUGGUGCAGUGGUAAAGAAGCCGCCUGCCAAUGCAGGGGACACGGGUUCGAGCCCUGGUCUGGGAAGAUCCCACAUGCCGCGGAGCAACUAAGCCCGUGAGCCACAACUACUAAGCCUGCGCAUCUGGAGCCCGUGCUCCGCAACAGGAGAGGCUGCGACAGUGAGGGCCUGAGCACCGCGAUGAAGAGUGGGCCCCGCUCGCCGCAACUGGAGAAAGUCCUUGCACAGAAACGAAGACCCAACACAGCCAAAAAAGAAAUAAAUUUAAAAAUGCGAACUCAACUAUAAUGUUACCAUAACCACUGAUAUUCAAAUAUUCUCAGCUACUUCUUAAGCUAAGCUAGGAACUAUCCCUAGAGUUGAGCAGAGUCCCCUGAAACCUUUUAACUUGGAAAUCACCAUGCUAUGGGAGAAAUACCUACAGCACUUGGAAAGGCUUUGAGGUUCUCGCAGGCACUUCCUUUUCAAUAAGCCACUUUACUGAGGUAUGAACGACAUACAAAGAGCUAUACAUAUUUCAUGUAUAUGACUUGAUGAUUUUGGAUAUAAGUAUAUACCAGUGAAACCAUCACCACAAUCUAUGCCAUAAACAUAUCCGUCACCUUCAAAAGUUUCCUCCUGCCUUCUUUAUUAUUAUUAAUUUUUGUGAUAAUGACACUUAACAUAAGAUCUACUCUCUUAGCCAAUUCUUAAUAUUGUCAACACAGGCACUAUGCUGUUCAAUAGAAAAGGACUUUUUCAUCUUGCAUAACUGAAACUUAGUACCCUUUGACCAGUUCUCUCCAGCCACUGAACCCUCUAGCUUUGCUCCCGUUUCAAUUUAACCAAGUGCCAGAAGCUUAUUUUGUGUCAUAUUAACAAACAGUAAAUAUUUUAAAUGUUAUCUAGUAAAAAGACUUAACUUGGCUUUUGUAUCUUUUCUGGUCUGCUACAAGUUUCCACCAGUGUCUCCUCUUUCCUUAUUUUGGUCUCACACUUUGUAGCAAAACAGAAGAGGAAGCACUUUAUGAAGAAGACCUUUGGG
Orcinus orca (killer whale) is the source of this 4420-nucleotide long non-coding RNA. RefSeq lists it as uncharacterized. Lineage: Eukaryota; Metazoa; Chordata; Mammalia; Artiodactyla; Delphinidae. The record is from RefSeq and is a predicted model, not a curated record. The transcript has 3 exons.